AUUAAACGCUGGCGGCAUGCCUUACACAUGCAAGUCGAACGGCAGCACGGGGGCAACCUUGGUGGCGAGUGGCGAACGGGUGAGUAAAGCAUCGGAACGUGCCCUGGAGUGGGGGAUAACGUAGCGAAAGUUACGCUAAUACCGCAUAUUCUGUGAGCAGGAAAGCAGGGGAUCGCAAGACCUUGCGCUCUGGGAGCGGCCGAUGUCGGAUUAGCUAGUUGGUGGGGUAAAGGCCUACCAAGGCGACGAUCCGUAGCGGGUCUGAGAGGAUGAUCCGCCACACUGGGACUGAGACACGGCCCAGACUCCUACGGGAGGCAGCAGUGGGGAAUAUUGGACAAUGGGCGCAAGCCUGAUCCAGCCAUGCCGCGUGGGUGAAGAAGGCC
RNAcentral lists this ribosomal RNA (386 nucleotides) under uncultured bacterium. Its description in RNAcentral is "bacterial SSU rRNA". It matches the Rfam family "Bacterial small subunit ribosomal RNA", at positions 29 to 416 of the family's 1533-position model. The record is from RNAcentral.